UACGGGGGGAGCAAGCGUUGUUCGGAUUUACUGGGCGUAAAGGGCGCGUAGGCGGUCAGCACAAGUCAGUUGUGAAAUCUCCGGGCUUAACUCGGAAAGGUCAACUGAUACUGUGACUAGAGUGCAGAAGGGGCAACUGGAAUUCUCGGUGUAGCGGUGAAAUGCGUAGAUAUCGAGAGGAACACCUGCGGCGAAGGCGGGUUGCUGGGCUGACACUGACGCUGAUGCGCGAAAGCCAGGGGAGCGAACGGG
RNAcentral lists this ribosomal RNA (252 nucleotides) under uncultured bacterium. RNAcentral's name for it is "partial 16S ribosomal RNA". It matches the Rfam family "Bacterial small subunit ribosomal RNA", at positions 524 to 776 of the family's 1533-position model. The record is from RNAcentral.